This 520-nucleotide long non-coding RNA is filed under the name Phoenix dactylifera (date palm). RNAcentral's name for it is "long non-coding RNA (PDAC_LNC010270)". The record is from RNAcentral. Lineage: Eukaryota; Viridiplantae; Streptophyta; Magnoliopsida; Arecales; Arecaceae.
UCCGUGACACGGCCGUGCUAUUGCCGACUACCGCCCAUAAUAGCACGCAGCCUCAUACCUGGGUAACAGGGUAGUCAAACCAACCGAAUCUUUUCAUAUAAAAGCAUUCUUAGUACAACAUGCUGGUCAGUACCCAAAUACAGAGCUUCUAUGUAGUUUAUGUACACAAAAGUAUACUUGCUUUACCCCAAAAGAAAGAAGCCCUGAUACCAAAUUAACGUGUCUCUGGCAGCUAUCAGUGGUAAGGAUCUGAAAGAAAAAGUAAAUGAACGGAUAUGAGCUACACGGCUCAGUAAGUAAUCAUACGUAAUCUUACCGGAUCGAACAUAACGGUAACCAUGUUUAUGCAGGGUUUGAGAAGCUGACAUGCAUAUUUAUCUAAUCAUCAUCAUGGCAUAAUAUGUAUGCAAUUUAAAGGAGAUAGCGGUUAUAGCAAAAUACAACAUUUCAUAAGGAUAUAUUCAAAAACCCGUUGUAAAACAAUGUAUGCUUUGGCCAAGCACGUUCAUAAAUGUCACGG